AAAGUAGAUUAUGCUCUAAUUCAUGAAUAAUCCACCCAAAGCAAUCCCCAACAUGAAGAUGUAUUCCUGUAUUUAUUGACCUUUUCAUGUUCUAAUACCUUCCACGUUUGGGAUACUAUUCACAGAACAUCUGUUUCCGUAUCUUUACAUUUUUAGGCAACUCGCUUGUAUUUUUGGGAAACAUCUUAGGAAACAAUGGUCACAUUUAAAGCUAAAAGGCUUGUAAGCCCCCCUGUUUUAAAGGUGUCGGAAAGUGGAAAGAAUAUGAUGUCAUUGCAAAUAUGUCCGCCCUUUAGGAAUCUCUGCUGUAGAGUGGACCUUACUGUUUCUUUUUUUUUUAAAGCUAUAACAUCACAUCUGCAGGGACUCAGGGAAAGUUGCAGAAUAGUGUGAAACAGGAAAGAGAAGAGAAAGUGGACAAAGUGUUCCUGUGUGUAGCUGUUGUGUCACAGUUCUCAGGGGCGAUCCAGGAUGGGAUGAUAAAACCUGUUAACUUUAUCUACGUGGAUGACAUGGCAACAACUCCAUCUAGCCCCUCCAGAACCUCAAGAGCUGAAUAGGAGUAAACCCAGCACACCUAAGAGUUCUGUUUAGGCUUGACGGAGAUUGAUCCAGCCUGCUCAUUAUCACAUGAAUACGAAAGCAUUUACGUUUAAAAACAACAUUUGAUUAUGGCGAGGAUGCAAAUCUUUUACUGCAAAACUCAUUCUUUUCUUGUAGUGGUUUAUUAUUUAACAGCGUUCCACAUCUUAGUUUAGUUUGUUUACAAAUUAGGUUGUAAGAGUAAUUAUCCAUAGUCUGAUUGCAGAUUGCUGUAUUUAGGACCUUCUAAGGUCCUAAAUACAGCAUAAACUUUAAGAUUGCUUUGUGUCAAGGAAUAACGCAUACCCCCAUUAACUUGCUCACAUUCUACUUAUGUUACAACCAGAAACUAUUUAUGAUACAUGGUUUUUAAAACUGCAUACAAGUAAAAAUCUGAAAAGUGCGGCUUGUGUUUAGCCCUCCUGAGCCAAUACCCGCCUUUUGCUGACUGUCAAAUAUGCAUAUAUCUAAACCAUUCAUCCAUUUUUUAUAUCGGCAUCUUCCAUACAGAGUUGCUGGUGCCUUUCUCCAGCGGCCUACGGGCAAAAGCCACAGUACACCCUGGAUAAAUUGCUAGUCCAUUGCAGGGCAACAGAGAGACACAUAGGACAAACAACCAUGCACACACCCACACAGAGCAAAUAACAGAGAGCAAUUAAGUGAACAGUCGUGUUUCUGGACUGUGCGAGAACCCUUGUAUGCACGGGGAGAACGUACAAACUCCAUGCAGAAAGACUCCUGGAAAUGAGUCGAACCCAAGACCUUCUUGCUGCAAGGCAACAGUGCUACCAACGGCACCACCGUGCAGCCCCUUGUAUCUAAACCAUUUCAUUGUAUUCUUGGAUGUAUAAUAAUGGGUCGUUGUUGUUAAGCUUCACCCCAGUGUCAAUGAUUAUUUAUUGUUUUUAGCUCCAUCCAUCAUCUCAUAAACUUAGACCAACUGCACUACCCUACCAUAAAGAAAGCAUCUCCAAAGUAUCUAGCUGCCAACAUCUUAUUUCUAUAUGAGAUGAUGUGUUCAGGAUGAUGUGCAAUGUUCAUUUUUAUGCUACACACAGCUUUUUGCAUUUAGGCCAAUUGGAAAUAGUCCAGUUGUGGUCUCACCUAACCAGAGCACCUUCUUCCAAAGGUAUGGUGCCUCCUUUACGUUGCCUGUCGCAAAACACAUACUUUGUAUGGCUUUCUUUCAGCUAUAGUUUUCCUUUUGCUAUUAUUUUAUAAGUGCCAGGUUUGUGGAUUGUAUGAAUAAUAGUUGUCAUUAUCAAGGUUUGGAUCUCUGCAGGUCUUCCAGAGUUACCAUGUCCCACUUGGCUGCUUUUCUGAAUAAUGCUCCUCUUACCCAACCUGUCUAAGUGGAUGGCCAUGUUUUGGUUGCUAUGUAGUGUAGUUGUGCUUGUUUCUUACCAUUUUGGAUAAUGGUUUGAAGAGUGCUACAUAAGAUGUCAAAAACCCACUUUAAAAUGUUUUGCAACUUUACUCUUGACCUGUCUGGUGUUCCUUGGUCUUCAUGAUGUUGUUUUUUCACCCAUUUAUUUAAUUCAAUAUCUUGGGCCUUUGUAGAACAGAUGUAUUUAUACCAGGAUUAAAUUAAACACAAGUGGACUCUAUACUAAUUAGGGGGCUGCUAAAGACCAUUAUUAGAACUGGGUUUUAUUUAGGGAUGUUAGCGUAAUAAUAGGUGACACACCACACUUUUCAGACUUUUAUUGUAAAAAAUGUUUACAAAUGUGUGAUUUUUAUUCUUUUUCACAUUAUUUACAAUUUAGUUAAUCUAAGACAUAAAAUCUCAAGAAAAUAUGUUCAGGAUUUUGGUAAUAACAGGACAGAAAGUUCAACGGGUAUGAAUACUUUUGCAAGACACUAGAAGAACAUUUUCCUGGAUUAACAAAAUUGUUGCAUUAGAAAGUAACAUUGAUUGUAGCAUGUAGGCAGUAAUAGUCAAAGGUUUGUCCAUGUCUUGUUCAUCAAUGCACAGUGAGAGCAUAACAUUUGAGGGAUACAAUCUGCUGAUGAGAAAACCACUCUUUUAUUGGUGUAUAUAUUGUGUAGUUGAAAAACAUAUAAACAGAAAAAUAAACUUAUUUUACUGCUGACUACAAUAGAGGAUUCUUUUUUUUUUUUUUUUAUCUUUCAGGCAAAUUAUUCUUGUAAUUGAACAGUCAUCGUAAAAGCCUAAACAUGAUACACAUGACCAAGUGAAAGAUUGGAUUCUAGACCUUAAAUGAGAAAAAAAAAGUAUGUAACUUUUUUUAUAUUUCAAGACAGGAGCCGGGGUUGUUUUCACAGCUUUCAUCACUUUUUGAGAUGUCUUUCAACAACAUUCCAGCAGUCAUUAGCAUUUACGAUUCGUUUGCAGUUCCUUUUUUUUUUGCCUCGGUCUUUCAUUUACGAUUUUAUGUAGUAGACUGAGUCUAGGAGUCUGUAAGCGUUAGUGCUAGGCUACUUGGAUUCCUUCUCUCAGUCACACUUUGAGGUACUAUCCUCUAAUUGUGUUUGUAAAAAUGUUGUCUUUAUUAAUACAGAUUUUGUGUUAGCUCACAAAUAAUUUGUAAAAUGUGAUACCAAUAAAUAAAGGACAAUUUAAC
This is a long non-coding RNA of Girardinichthys multiradiatus, 3167 nucleotides long. RefSeq lists it as uncharacterized. The transcript has 2 exons. The record is from RefSeq and is a predicted model, not a curated record. Lineage: Eukaryota; Metazoa; Chordata; Actinopteri; Cyprinodontiformes; Goodeidae.